This is a long non-coding RNA of Daucus carota subsp. sativus, 470 nucleotides long. RefSeq lists it as uncharacterized. NCBI's taxonomy places the organism in Eukaryota, Viridiplantae, Streptophyta, Magnoliopsida, Apiales, Apiaceae. The transcript has 3 exons. The record is from RefSeq and is a predicted model, not a curated record.
AUAUGUAGGUGAUUCUCAAAUUCGAAGAACUAUUAAAUACAAUGUUUAUUUCAAAGAAAAUAUCUGUAGAUAAGUAGACUAGUAAGAGUGAAGGUAAAAAGUCAAAAAAAUCUGAUUCGAGUUUAAGUAUUCAUUCACCGAUUAAGAAAAGGUGCAAAGGUCGUUCACCAACUAGGAGAAAGCAGUCAAAGGUUGAUACAGUUGUUAAGUGUCUGAAGAAAAAGUCCAAAAAGGGUGGGAAAAAGAAUUGCAUACAGUCGGAUCUGAAUGAUUUAAGUGAAGAGCUUUUAACUUUUUUGCCAGAGGAUGGGCCAAAUCACUUGACAAAUUUGAGACAGCAGACACCUGAUGAUGCUGGUGGUAAUGGCAAUAUAGCUUUAAUCCAAGAAGUCAAUGAUGAUAAUGUUUUGAAAGUUGUUGCCGGACUGACUUCUGAAUCUGCAAUAGAUAGCAGAACAACAAGACCACUU